Non-coding RNA from Conger conger (European conger), 77 nucleotides. The record is from the annotation of a RefSeq genome assembly. NCBI's taxonomy places the organism in Eukaryota, Metazoa, Chordata, Actinopteri, Anguilliformes, Congridae.
GUCAGGAUGGCCGAGUGGUCUAAGGCGCCAGACUCAAGAUCCAAAUGGAGGUGUGGGUUCAAAUCCCACUUCUGACA